Oncorhynchus kisutch (coho salmon) is the source of this 1287-nucleotide long non-coding RNA. RefSeq lists it as uncharacterized. The record is from RefSeq and is a predicted model, not a curated record. NCBI's taxonomy places the organism in Eukaryota, Metazoa, Chordata, Actinopteri, Salmoniformes, Salmonidae. The transcript has 6 exons.
GUGUGUACAAUCUCUGGACUUCCUUUCCUUAACAUUUGUUUGUUUCAUUUUCUGCAGUUCUUCUGACUCUACCCUGCUACAGCACACAUGGGCAGGUCAAUCCUUUUGGAAUUCCAGUCUCCGUCCAUGCUGGGAAGUUCUACGGCACGUCUCCCAGAGAUCACGUCUGCGACGGGCUUAAUUAUAGAGGUCUAGAUUUCACCUGCUGUGAAGGAGUACGUCAUGAAGGGGCGGGACUGUCCUGCUGUGGAAGCAGAGCCUUUAACCUCACCCAGGCUUCCUGCUGUACCUAUUCACUCGAACCUGGUCAACUGACUCUGAAUGUAAGCCAGCUGGUGUCAGAUUGCUGUGGGUUGAGGGCCUACGACCCACUCAACCAACUGUGUUGUGACUCACGGAUCCUGAACAGGACCCAAACCCAUGCAAAGUGUUGUGGAAAAGAGCUUUACGAUGAAGACCACCAGCUUUGCUGUGGAAAUAUUGUCGAAGGAAGGAAGGUCCUGGCCAAAAUGUCCAGUCACCACCGAUGCUGUGGAGACCACCAGUUUGACCAGCAAAGCCACUGCUGCUGCUCUGAAACACUAUCCCCAGAGCCUCUCAAUGCAAGCUGCUGUGCAUCAACAAGUUCUAAUCUGAGGGGAAUUGAUGCGAGUUCUCCAAACUGGUAAAGGUUGCCUUCAUCCGUAUAAAGAACCUCAUACUGUCUCACUUUUUAUUUAUUCAAUGUUCCAUUCAACCAUUUCAUUAACAGUCAGGGUUUCAAAUAAUAAUUUUGAUGUCUCAGUUGCUAAAAGCCACAUUGGGGGUGGCAUCCGUUUCAAAUUAUGCUUUAUUUUCCUUGUGGCUUUUGGCCGAGGCCCGAGAUAUUGAAUGGCCUGCCAACAAGCACAAGAAGGGAGUUUAACUGGUAACCUUUUGUCUGUAGAAAAAGAGUGGUGGAAUAAUUAGAAACGUAACGAUGAUUGUUUUUUAACAUGGUUUUUCACAACUAUGCUUGUGUUUGUGUACAUAUACGUUUAUUGUUUAUGUAUGUGUAGGUGCAUGUUGUUGUAUUGCAUCUCUCUCGCUCUCUGCAUGCCUCCAGUAUGCCAGGGGAGAGGCCCUGUGGUCGAGGUGCCUGUUUUAACCCAACAACAGAGGGUUGCUGUGAGAACCCUACAUCUCUCCAAGGGAAGCGUUACUUGCGUCACCAGACCUGCUGUGAAGGAAUACUCAGCCGCACCCCAUGUAAGACAGCACAAGGUGUCCGACUAGUUUUAUUUAUUUUUUGUUUUUGUAUCGGAGGCU